Molecule: ribosomal RNA, 1379 nt
Filed under: Hemiolia trepidum
Lineage: Eukaryota; Euglenozoa
Description: SSU rRNA
Rfam family: Eukaryotic small subunit ribosomal RNA
Source: RNAcentral
AAGCUCGUAGUUUGUCUUCGCAUGAGGUGCCAUUUGCUUGGCUCGCUGACGCAGUUAAAUGCUGAUGUGAACCAAACCAAGCAUUGGCAAUCGCCGCAUGCGUGGACUGAACUCGAACUGUGGAAACAUCCUUUGUUGUGUUGCGGAAAUCGUCUUACGAAGAUCAUACGUGUAAUGUGAAGUGAAGAAUAUCGCCGUGAGAUAACCAGYGUGUUCAAGGCAUCCUAACCUUUUGGCAACCGGACGAAUGGUCAAGCAUGGUACGGUGCGGGAGCGAACCUCAACAGCAAGUGUUUGAUCGAUUUUGGACUGUGGAGGCAUAUCAGGGUGGUGUGUUCAGUGUGCCGUCAAACGUGUCAUACUGACCCUACCCUUCGGAACCAAGAGAGAUGAUUGUAGUUCUUGGUAUUAACCCCAGAGGAGUGAAACCCUGUGACGUCGAUACGACUCCCCGAUGCGAAGGCGUUGGGCAGGGAGCGCGGUUGUUGAUCAAGAACGUGAGUUUGGAGAUCGAAGAUGAUUAGAUACCGUCGUAGUCCAUACCGUAAACCGUGCGAACCAAUGUUCUGUGAGUCCGCUUGACGGAUCCAGUCCCUUGGGACGUACGCAAAACCAAUCUAUUCAUUGUGGCGCGAAAGCUGGAGUCUCCACACUCAGGGGGAAGUAUGGUCACAAGGCUGAAACUUAAAGAAAUUGACGGAAUGACACCACCAGGCGUGGGGUGUGCGGCUUAAUUUGACUCAACGCGGGGAAGUUUAUCAGGUCCGGAUGCUGGCUGGAUUGACAGUGUGAUGGUGCUUUCAUGAUUCAGCAAAUGGUGGUGCAUGGCCGUUCCUAGUUGGUGAGGUGACUUGUCUGCCUGAUUGCGAUAACGAACGAGAUCUUUGUGGCUUAAUAGAUUGUGGUCUCGUUUUAGGAGGCUUCUUCGYGUUGCCUCUGAGGGACCAUGCAACUGCUUUGCCGGGCUGCGUGCGAUAUCAAGUACGAUUAAAAGAGGCGAUAGCAGGUCUGUGAUGCUCCUCGACGUUCUGGGCUGCACGCGUACAACACUGAAACAGGAAGCGCGUUAGCCUUCAAUUGAAACCUGCUCUGAGGAGAGUGGGAAAUCGUAAAACUGAGUCGUGAUGGGGACAGCAUUAUUGCAAAUCUUACGCUCGAACGAGGAAUGCCUCGUAAAGGUCGCUCAUCAGACAGCCUUGAUUAUGUCCCUGCCAUUUGUACACACCGCCCGUCGUUGCUACCGAUGAUUUGAAUGUAGAGGCGGAGAGAAACUGGCUAUAACUUCGUGUUGAGUACUAUAUUGAAUUCCACCAAUACGUCCCCGUUAGAGGAAGCAAAAGUCGUAACAAGGUUGCUGUAGGUGAACCUGCAGAAGGAUC